RNAcentral lists this ribosomal RNA (444 nucleotides) under uncultured Gammaproteobacteria bacterium. RNAcentral describes it as "bacterial SSU rRNA". It matches the Rfam family "Bacterial small subunit ribosomal RNA", at positions 812 to 1256 of the family's 1533-position model. The record is from RNAcentral. Lineage: Bacteria; Pseudomonadati; Pseudomonadota; Gammaproteobacteria.
UCGAUUUGGAGUUUGUUGCCCUGAGUGAUGGGCUCCGAAGCUAACGCGAUAAAUCGACCGCCUGGGGAGUACGGCCGCAAGGUUAAAACUCAAAUGAAUUGACGGGGGCCCGCACAAGCGGUGGAGCAUGUGGUUUAAUUCGAUGCAACGCGAAGAACCUUACCUGGUCUUGACAUCCACAGAAUCUUGCAGAGAUGCGAGAGUGCCUUCGGGAACUGUGAGACAGGUGCCGCAUGGCUGUCGUCAGCUCGUGUUGUGAAAUGUUGGGUUAAGUCCCGCAACGAGCGCAACCCUUAUCCUUUGUUGCCAGCGAUUCGGUCGGGAACUCAAAGGAGACUGCCGUUGAUAAAGCGGAGGAAGGUGGGGACGACGUCAAGUCAUCAUGGCCCUUACGACCAGGGCUACACACGUGCUACAAUGGCGUAUACAAAGGGAGGCGACCUC